Molecule: non-coding RNA, 100 nt
Filed under: Staphylococcus chromogenes
Lineage: Bacteria; Bacillati; Bacillota; Bacilli; Caryophanales; Staphylococcaceae
Description: TPP sequence
Rfam family: TPP riboswitch aptamer (THI element)
About the family: Vitamin B(1) in its active form thiamin pyrophosphate (TPP) is an essential coenzyme that is synthesised by coupling of pyrimidine and thiazole moieties in bacteria. The previously detected thiamin-regulatory element, thi box was extended, resulting in a new, highly conserved RNA secondary structure, the THI element, which is widely distributed in eubacteria and also occurs in some archaea. Analysis of operon structures identified a large number of new candidate thiamin-regulated genes, mostly transporters, in various prokaryotic organisms.
Source: RNAcentral
AAAGACUACUAGGGGAGCCUUUUGGCUGAGAUGAAUCGAAUUCAGACCCUUUGAACCUGAUUGAGUUAAUACUCGCGUAGGAAAGUAGCGUAGACAUUGA